This 30-nucleotide non-coding RNA is filed under the name Rattus norvegicus (Norway rat). Lineage: Eukaryota; Metazoa; Chordata; Mammalia; Rodentia; Muridae. The record is from RNAcentral.
UAUACAACUAUGGUGUCAUUAAGACUUCUC